RNAcentral lists this ribosomal RNA (297 nucleotides) under uncultured bacterium. RNAcentral's name for it is "partial 16S ribosomal RNA". It matches the Rfam family "Bacterial small subunit ribosomal RNA", at positions 29 to 334 of the family's 1533-position model. The record is from RNAcentral.
AACGAACGUUGGCGGCGUGCCUAACACAUGCAAGUCGAACGCGGGACUUCGGUCCUGAGUGGCGCACGGGUGAGUAACACGUGAGUAACCUGCCCUGAAGACGGGGAUAACUGGCCGAAAGGUCAGCUAAUACCCGAUAAUCUCCUUGAUGCGAUGGUAUUGAGGGGCAAAGGAAUUUCGCUUCAGGAUGGGCUCGCGUCCCAUUAGGUAGUUGGUGAGGUAACGGCUCACCAAGCCCGAGAUGGGUAGCUGGUCUAAGAGGAUGAUCAGCCACACUGGAACUGAGACACGGUCCAG